This 324-nucleotide long non-coding RNA is filed under the name Vigna radiata. RNAcentral's name for it is "long non-coding RNA (VRAD_LNC012438)". The record is from RNAcentral. Lineage: Eukaryota; Viridiplantae; Streptophyta; Magnoliopsida; Fabales; Fabaceae.
AAGAAAAGGUGAUUGGCAUGUGAGUGGGGUAUAGAUUUUGGGCACGUAAUUUGUAACAGCAAUAAUAAAAUCCUAGAAAACCUCAUAGAUUUGUUAAGCCAGCAAGAAUUCCUUGUAGCUUUGAUCCAUGAAAACUACGAUGAAACAUGAACUUUUUAGCCCUGCUGUCUGGGCCCUUUGAAUUUGUCUACAUGUUUUUUCAAUCUUAAUUUUUGUUCUUUACUUAUUCCCCUUUUUACUCCACCAAUUCCUUCUUUUUCCCCCCUCCCUGUGAAUUAAGAACAAGAAAAGGUAUAAGCACCAUUGUCACUGAGACUAUAAAAU